GACGAACGCUGGCGGCGUGCUUAACACAUGCAAGUCGAACGGAAAGGCCCUGCUUUUGUGGGGUGCUCGAGUGGCGAACGGGUGAGUAACACGUGAGUAACCUGCCCUUGACUUUGGGAUAACUUCAGGAAACUGGGGCUAAUACCGGACAGGAGCUCCUGCUGCAUGGUGGGGGUGGGAAGGUUUGGGCGGUUGGGGUUGGACUCGCGGCUUAUCAGCUUGUUGGUGGGGUAGUGGCUUACCAAGGCUUUGACGGGUAGCCGGCCUGAGAGGGUGACCGGCCACAUUGGGACUGAGAUACGGCCCAGACUCCUACGGGAGGCAGCAGCGGGGAAUAUUGCACAAUGGGCGGAAGCCUGAUGCAGCAACGCCGCGUGCGGGAUGACGGCCUUCGGGUUGUAAACCGCUUUCGCCUGUGACGAAGCGUGAGUGACGGUAAUGGGUAAAGAAGCACCGGCUAACUACGUGCCAGCCGACGCGGUAA
This 484-nucleotide ribosomal RNA is filed under the name uncultured bacterium. Its description in RNAcentral is "partial 16S ribosomal RNA". It matches the Rfam family "Bacterial small subunit ribosomal RNA", at positions 28 to 523 of the family's 1533-position model. The record is from RNAcentral.